Molecule: RNA transcript, 2428 nt
Organism: Cucurbita moschata (crookneck pumpkin)
Lineage: Eukaryota; Viridiplantae; Streptophyta; Magnoliopsida; Cucurbitales; Cucurbitaceae
Gene name: zinc finger CCCH domain-containing protein 46-like
Exons: 11
Source: RefSeq, a predicted model, not a curated record
UACUGUUGGUGUGGCCAUGCCCACUAGCUCGUCUCCCAAUAAGAAACGCAGCGCCAUUACUCUCUUACUCCUUCCCCUUUUUCUUCACUCAUUCCCUUUGACUCCCAUUAUUCUACCCAUUUCCAACCCCAAAUGAACCUCUGAUUCCUCUUCCUCCUCCAAAACCAAGCUGAUUAUGGAUGAUUAUGAAGCUACAAGAAUCGUGUUCUCAAGGGUUCAAAAUCUCGACCCUGAAAAUGCCUCGAAAAUCAUGGGCCUCCUCCUCCUUCAAGAUCAUGGCGAAAAAGAAAUGAUCCGAUUAGCUUUUGGCCCUGAAUCUCUAAUCCAUUCUUUGAUUCUCAAGGCCAAAACAGAGCUGAACUUGAACCCAUCUUCUUGUUCUUCAAGGCCCAGAAUCAAUCUCCCACCUCUUUCGAUUCCAAUCCCAAAUCCAAACUUUUCAAAUCACCCAGAUGGAGGAGCUGAUUUUGUUGAUGAGUUUCAGAUUCAAGAUCACCUCUGUUUCCUCACCGACGGCUCUGUAAAUGAAAGCCCAGAUUUCUUUUACACUAAUCCGGCGGAUUUCCCAGCCAGUCCGACCGACGGCGAUGUGCUCUACGGCGGGGGUAAUUGGGCUGAGGAAGCAGGGUUGGGGCUUGGAUGGCGGCCGUGUUUGUAUUAUGCGAAAGGGUUUUGUAAGAAUGGAAGUGGGUGUAGGUUUUUUCACUCCGGCGGCGGUGAGGUGAGUUUGAUGGCUGAUGGCGGCGGUGGAAGGGCGGAAAUGGUGGACCACUGUUCUGAUGGUCUUCUUCUCCGGUCGAAAUCGGGUUUGCAGCAGAGAUUGGGAAUGGGUUGUUCUGCUAAUAGUAACGGUAACUUUUUUCCAUAUUCGCCGACGGCGGCGUCUGAUUUGCUUCUUCAACAACAGCAAAAUGAAAUGCGAAGAGCGGCGGUGGGGUUAUCCAUGGAGGAGGAAUCAGGCAACACAGGGAGAUUCCGGCUGGAAAGAACGGAUUUUUGCGGCGGAGGAAUGGGGAAUCCGGCAGCCAGACAAAUAUAUUUGACAUUUCCAGCAGACAGCAGUUUCAAAGAGGAGGAUGUGUCCAAAUAUUUCAGCAUUUAUGGACCAGUUCACGACGUAAGAAUCCCAUAUCAGCAGAAGAGGAUGUUUGGCUUUGUGACUUUCGUGUACGCAGAUACGGUUAAGCUUAUCCUGGCUAAGGGCAACCCUCACUUUGUCUGUGAUUCUCGUGUUCUUGUUAAGCCUUAUAAGGAGAAGGGCAAAGUCCCCGACAAGUUCAGGAAACAACAACAAAUGGAUAGGGGAGAUUUCUCUUCACCAACUGGUCUUGAUUCUAGAGACCUUCACGAUCUCCAUCUCGGAGCAAGAAUGUUUUACAACACUCAAGACAUGCUAUGGAGGAGGAAACUAGAGGAACAAGCUCUUGAGCUUCAAGCUUUAAGAGUAAUGAGUUUGCAACUUUCUGAUGUUAAAAAGCCUCACCAUCAGCAAACUCCUCUUCCAAUUUGCAGCCCAAUUCCUUCCCCUACUAACUCUCCUAAUCCCUUCAAUCAAGCCCUUCUUUUCCAUUCAAUUCCAACAAGCUCACAACUCCUCCAAGAGAACGGCUCGAACCACUUGCCCGAGGUUCACCUUGAGCCACGAGUGAUGAUCAAUUCAAAUUCGACAGCUGAUAGUGAUAGUAGCAAUGACAAGGAAACCGACUUGCAAGAAACUAGGUACUAUAAGGUUCUAUCUAGUGGUUGUUGAUGAUCGUUUUAUGUUUUUUGAUUCGACCGUUGAUGUGUUUCGUUGUCUUUUUAAGCACUUUUGAACACGUUUUCAAAAUUUGAGCUUAAAAACUAAAAAAAAACUGAAAUCCCACGGCUGGAGAGAGGAAUGAGUGCUAGCUAGGAUGCUGGGCCCCGAAGUUUGGAGCAUAAUCUCCCUGACAGUCCCUUCGCCACGGCAUCGUACACGCCAAGUGGCAUCGAGGUCGACGAAUCAGAUGCGUCAACCGACAAUCAUUCUGCAGCUUCAUCCUUCGCUUCGACACCAAACCUCGGCGCACCCUUCAAAUCCUUCAACUGCCAGUACCCUUCUGGCCAUGGAGCCAUCGGGUUGUAUGCAAGCACGGGCGGACCGACAUGUCGAGUCGGGAUUUAGCUGAUCAUAAAUUUCAAGAAGUGUCUUAAGAGAGCCCACAGUACGAAGGAUCUAAGAAUUACCACAGGAAUAGCAUUUAAAAUAACAGUAAAAAGAGACAGAGACAUUGAUUGACAUGAAGUUUUGACUGUUUGGGCACUGUAAUUCUCUUACCAAUGUAAAUUAUUAAUCUUACAAGGUGAAUUCAUAAGCCAACAUGGUCAAAAUUCAGUCAUCUUUGUAUAUGAGAAGUGUUAAUGAUAAAAUUGGAUGAUCUUAGAAAUAUUGGUAAAUUUGAUAUUA